RNAcentral lists this ribosomal RNA (264 nucleotides) under uncultured bacterium. Its description in RNAcentral is "partial 16S ribosomal RNA". It matches the Rfam family "Bacterial small subunit ribosomal RNA", at positions 90 to 354 of the family's 1533-position model. The record is from RNAcentral.
UCUUAGUGGCGGACGGGUGAGUAACGCGUGGGUAACCUGCCUUACACUGGGGGAUAACACUUAGAAAUAGGUGCUAAUACCGCAUAAGCGCACGAAGCCGCAUGGAUUUGUGUGAAAAACUCCGGUAGUGUAAGAUGGACCCGCGUCUGAUUAGCUUGUUGGCGGGGUAACGGCCCACCAAGGCGACGAUCAGUAGCCGGCCUGAGAGGGUGGACGGCCACAUUGGGACUGAGACACGGCCCAAACUCCUACGGGAGGCAGCAG